Molecule: non-coding RNA, 44 nt
Filed under: Paenibacillus nuruki
Lineage: Bacteria; Bacillati; Bacillota; Bacilli; Caryophanales; Paenibacillaceae
Description: Paenibacillus sp. TI45-13ar PreQ1 (pre queuosine) riboswitch aptamer
Rfam family: PreQ1 (pre queuosine) riboswitch aptamer
About the family: This family is a bacterial riboswitch that binds to the metabolite preQ1, an intermediate in the biosynthesis of the modified nucleoside queuosine from GTP.
Source: Rfam by way of RNAcentral
GCGGGAGAGGUUCGCGAACUCCCUCUAUAAAAAACUAUCAAUCC